RNAcentral lists this ribosomal RNA (253 nucleotides) under uncultured bacterium. RNAcentral describes it as "partial 16S ribosomal RNA". It matches the Rfam family "Bacterial small subunit ribosomal RNA", at positions 524 to 776 of the family's 1533-position model. The record is from RNAcentral.
CACGUAGGGUGCAAGCGUUGUCCGGAAUUAUUGGGCGUAAAGAGCUCGUAGGCGGUUUGUCGCGUCGGCUGUGAAAACCCGAGGCUCAACCUCGGGCCUGCAGUCGAUACGGGCAAACUAGAGUGUGGUAGGGGAGACUGGAAUUCCUGGUGUAGCGGUGAAAUGCGCAGAUAUCAGGAGGAACACCGGCGGCGAAGGCGGGUCUCUGGGCCAUAACUGACGCUGAGGAGCGAAAGCGUGGGGAGCGAACAGG